CAAGAACUUAUUUUAAUCCCUUUAAAACCCAACUUGUUUACAUCGCUACACGAGGGUAGGAGGAGAGGGAGAGAUGCGAGAGAUUAAGAUUUGGUUCCCAGUUUAACCAACAUAAUUUUACAAACACGAACAAAAAGAAAAGCAAUGUGCCCAAAAUAAGGCAUGACAAGAACAAGCACAUCUGAUUUACGAAACUACAAGGUCCACUACACAAAUUGAUUACAUAUCUCAAACCCUGAAAUAUCAGCACGUGUCCAAAGGGGAAAACUAUGACAAAUGACAUAAUCACAUUUCAAAAGCAAACUAGAACAAAUAAUGCUGCAACAAUGUCAGAGCUCUGAAAGAAUUGCAGGGAUGUAAUGGGAUAAUUCCGCUGUAAGAGACUGAAAUCCAUUCACAAGUUGAGUGUGGAAAUCUUGGUCUUCCUCACCAAUCAAUCUAAAAUGCACACGUAUGGCACGUUUACAAACAGCCAUGAAUUCUAGGAGUGCAGCUAUGAGUUGUUGCAGCUCUUGUGAACGUAACCUUGUAGCAGGCUCGCCAGAUAAGAAGGCUGUGCAGACACUCAAAACUCCGCUAUUGACUUGAACUGCAACACUGCCCUGAAGAAUUCUCUGCAAACUCUGGAGGCGAGGGAGUUGAUCCCCUUCAGAACUACGAGGCUCCUCAAGCUCGUUUCUCAAGGCAGCUGUCCGAGUUUCAAUCAUCCCAAUUGCAUUCUCUACUGGGGAGAACUCAAUAGAUUCAGAUUUGAUUACCAAAAGCCUAUUCACAAGGGCAGGGAAAGAACCUUCAGUCUCAAGAACAGUCCGCCUCUUCCAUUGGUCUUCCAAGCCACCUUGGGUCUUACCAUUUUUUGUAAAUGGGGUGUCAAACAAGAACCGGUCAAAGACUCGUGCACGGACGCUUCCAGUGGAAAGAGAGAAAAUUCUUUCCCUUCGACUUCCUAAAUCUUCAUCUUCCAUCACUGGAUCAACAGCAGUUAUCUGCAAGUAGCAGACUCCAGGCUGCAAUUCAUCUGCCUUAACCUGUCUAGAAUCAGGGAUAAUAUGCAAAGUGUGAUUCCCAUCCAUCCUAGAUUCAUAUAUAUGACUUAAUUUCUCCAUUAUGUCACCUAGACGUACAUCUCGGGGUUCUCGGUAUACAUAUUCUUUCUUGUCCAGCUUCCCAAAUCUUUCACCAUAAAAUCCCACCCUAUAGUAUGUGGCAUCAGUGAAUGGAAUUGGGCUUGAUUCCUGCUCAAGAAUUGAUUCAUAGAUAUUAGUGAGCAAUGUAUGACAUUUAGCCAACUGCCCAUAUGCCCUCCUGCUUUUAUAAACUGGAAUUACAAGUUCCAGAAUGCUUGCACAGAAAUGAAAGAGCUCAGCUUGAGAGAAAAGCUUAUUUGCAAGCUGUAGAUAUUUUACAGCAGAGUCAACAGUCAGCUUAGAUGCACCAUAUCCCUCCACCUCUGCUGCAGAUGCCUCAGACGAGAUCUCACUGCUGACCAUUGGGCAAAUUUUACGUAGAGCAGUUACAUGAUCUUUGCUCCAGACACCGUCAUUUCUAGCCACAAGGGCCUGCAUUACAACACCGGCAACAGCCACAGCACACUGUGCAGCUUCUGCCCAGGACUGCAUUUCCUGAUGAGCAUCACAUAAAUGCAACAACCACAUUAUGUGAAGGUCAGGAACAGGUGCAAAUGCCAUAGCAAGUUUAUAGUAGCUCUCUGCAGCCGCAUAUCUAUCGAUAGUCAUCACAGAAGCCAGAAGUGCAUGUUCCAGGCUAGCAUCAAGGGCCAGGAUUAGAUUGUCAGAGAGAUAUUUCACCUCCGACCAGGACCAUCGAUUUUCUGCUGACCUUUCCAAACUUGCCACCAAUGCAUUUUCAGGUAGUCCACAUUCCCUUAAUAAGUUGGUGCUCUUAUAUUCAUCUGCCAUUUCCUCCAAAGACCUGCGAAGGCGUCUUGCUUCACCACUCUCUUCCAGUGUUCCAUCAGAUUUCAUCUGAGUCACUUGCACAUCAGACAUCAGCUCUGACAACGUGAUAGUCAGCAUGACCCGCAAUCUUGCUGUUUGCAUAAAAUAAUAGAAAGAGCUCCUCACUAGUAUCUGGAGCCCAAUAACAGCUCUUUUCCUGAUGCUUUCAUUUCUGAAAACAGCAAGCCGUAGAAGAUGGAAAGCAACCUGCUUUAGAAAGCGAUCAUUUUCCCUUGCCAUUAGUGUUGCCCCAUGAUGAUCAAAUACACUGUAGAAGACAGGAAAAAGAGCUUUCCAGAAAGCCAGUGGCUGAUUUCGAGAAAAGAAACUCAUAAACAUGGCUGUAAUGCAGUCAAGUUUUCCAUAAUCAGUAGCAAUGCUAUGGGAUGCUGCCAUCAUGGAAAAUUUUUCAGUUAUCUCCAGCACCUGAAGACUCACAGCUGCACUCAGGUUUUCUUCCCAAAGCUCCAGCUUUUGUCUCAAUAUAGGAUGCAAAGAUUCUCUAAGUGCUUGGGCUGAAGCUCCAAUUCUUGAAGAUUGUGCCUGAGCAAGAGCUUCUCUCAAGGAAUAUGGCUGGCUAGGGGAGCUUAACUGGGAAUUCACUCUCUGCCACAAAUAUCCAUUAUCAGGUGUUCCCUGAGUCCUAACUUCUUGCCGUGAUGCCUCAGACAGAUAGUUGUUUAUUGCAGGAGAAAGCCUAUCAGAGUACUUGGGGGAAGAAGGUCCAUCUGUGACUGGGCUGCGAGAACUAGAGCCCAUGAGCAUGCCAUCUGCAGGUUUUCUGUGCUCAAAAAGAACAAGGCAUUCCUCCAUAAGUUUGAAGAACAAUCUAGUUCGUGCAAUGCUUUGCUGCCAUGCCUUGACAAGUGAUGUCUCAUCCAGAUUGCGCACAAUUUGCAGAAUAACAAUUAAAACUUCGCGCUUUUCAACGGCAUUCAGAUUAUAGAAGACAGGCAUCUCAUCUAGGAUCUGGCCAAUAAGAGGAAAAUAUAGCUGUGCAAUAUAUAAUUUAUCUUCAGGCUUUUGGUAACGAGCAUCAAACUCAUGCUUGCAUAAGAUAACUACUAACAUUCUUGCUGCCUUUGAUCGCUGAGAUAGAUCAUCAUGAUCCCAAGUAAGGAAAAGCUCUUGUAUUAAAACAGAUGAAAGGUAGUUUCUAUCUGAAGGGUCUCUCCCAGGCAUUUCCACAAAAAGAUCAUGAUCACACACAAUUUGAAGAAAGGUUAGCUUACAUUCGUGGAGAACCGAUUGACAUACCCCAGAAAACUUGUCUAAGUACAAGGACACCAAUUCAAAAACUUGCCGAGGUUCAAUGAUAGACAAAAGAUCAUAACAAAAGAAGGCCAAACUACUAUUCAAGCGUUUUGCCAAACUUGAACCCUUCUUACAACGCUCAUGCACUUCUGUUAGAAGGCAAUCAUACAAUUGCAUUAUGCAUCUGAAAACACCUUCUUUUAAUUGCAUUGGUGGAACAUCUUCACCUAGCGGAAGACUAUGAUAGAAAAGGCGAGUUUGCUCCAAUGCCAUUGACUUCACAAUUAGCUCAAGAAAAAACCAAGCCAUUGCCAAAACAUCAUCAUAUACUGGCCCAACUCGGUAGCCUUUGGCCUUACUACGAGCCAAGCUUCCCCACACAGUGGACAAACCAGGAUAAACUGGAGGUUGACGACCUCCAAAGUCGUCAAAAGCAUAAUCAACGUAGUUAACAAGAAAACGAUUUCGUUCAGCAUCAUCAACUGAUUCCUGCUGCACCCUAGUUAAGAUAUUGACCAUAGCUCUGAAGGCUGCAACCUGUAGAGUUUCUCCACCACUGCCUAUAAGAUGGAGAAGCAUGUUUAAAAUUGGGUGAAGAAACUGAAGCAAGGCAGUGGAAUCAACAUUCUUCAAACUGUUAAUGGCCUCCAGGAGUUCUGAACCCCAAGGCGGACUUGUUCGAAGAGUGUGCCUAUCAUAUUCAAGGAAAAAAUCUCUAAUGCGCUCAUUUAUAGGGUACAAUGAUGAACAAAGUUUCAUGCGCAAUCUAAAGACAUUCUUCCCAUCUUCCAAAUAAUCCAGCCUCUCCUUGCCAAUAUCCUGGAGAUAAUGUGGAACCAGCUCUCUCAUGAUUGGUAAGGAAAUUUCAGAUCUCAACUGAGCAUGUGUAGAUAAUGGAAGCGCUGCAUAUCCGAUUACCACGGGCUUUGGAGCUUCCAACUUUGUUUGAAGAUCAAUAUGGAAGAAAGUGAACAAGAGAUGAUGCAACGGUGUCCAGAUGGCAGAAAGGGAAAGUUUAAUCUCAUCAUGGAAGCAAGCCACUCUAGCCCCAACAGCAACCUGUGUGUGAGCCCACUUUUGGAGUGAUGCUCCUGGUUCCCUAGGAUACAUUGCCUCCAAAGGCUGUCUACGAACGUCUGCAUCAUCCUUCCUUAGUUCCACUCGCAUGAACAAAUUCCUCUUCCGACUCAAAGUAACAUUUAAAGGAUAAACAUACAAGCAAUGAAAAAGCUGCAAGAAAGGCUCAUUUCGCAUUGUUGUACGGAAGUCAAAUGCUUGGAAAUCAUCAGCAUUCAUCUCAGGGUUUCCAUGGCCACUAGAACUAUUUCCAGAAAUUUCUUUCCCAUCAUAGAUAUUCCACUUGGAGCUGCUAGUUUGAGGAUGGUCAGAGCCAUUGCUAGGGCAUUUUGUAAGAGUGGAAUCAGCAAUUCGGUCUCCUGGAUCAACGGACUCAUUGGUCAUGCUACCACUUUCGGAUAGGUUUUCCAAGUCAGAAUGGCCUGUCUGGUGCUUCUCAAUUUCUAGUCUGAGAACACCUCUGACUGGUUUGUGAACCUUGCGUUUAGGAUCCUGAAGAGAGUCCUCAGUAUAACUUUCUUUAACUUUAUUUAAGUUUGAUAUUUCAACAACAACCGAGCUUCCACUUGAAUAACCCAAUUUCCCAUCCAGUGUGAUGUUUGCUACGGGCUCAAACACACCAUCAUGGGAACUUGAUCCAGAUACACUUGGGGCAAGUGGGCUGCUUGGGGAAGCAGGCCCUCCAGAAGUUCCACCAACACUGUUAUCAAAUAAUGGAACAAUCGCCCAGGCAAAUGACUGUCUAUAAGGCAUAAUUCGAGACCACACCUGCAAUUUCUGCUUCUCUCUCUCACUCAAGUGGACAGGUUCUUUACGUGAAUAAACCGAAGGAGUAACCCCGCCUUCUUCUGUAGCAGGCUUCUCUAGCUGGAUCAGCAGACAAAUUGAUGCAGAUGGAGCAUCUAGAUAGAAAAUUCCAUGAGGUUCAUAUGAAAUUUUUGCAUCUUGUGUGUCUGUUGGCAGCACAGAAAAAUAAAAAUCCUCCGAUAACUUUUCUCUUCUCUCCUUAUUAUAUAUGCAAAUGGUACCAUAAAAUGGCUCAACUAGUCCUGCUUGAAAAGAAAGGGAAAGAACUUUUACAGAGAUCUUCAAUCCCCUGCCAUAUGGCGCCAUUGGAGUUUCUUGAAUCCUUUGGCCAAAUAUCAUCGACCUCUCAUUUUCCCAGUCAAAAGCUGGUUCAUAAGCAGGGAGAGGGGAAUGACCAAAAUGCUUUGAAACAUGUGAAAGUGACAAGUCAGAAGUGGCCUCUGUAAAUUGCCUUCCAGAGGUGCUCGGAAUGUCAUCAUCAGCUGUAUCUUCAGCUUUAGUUCGUCUUGAAUUCGCAAGCUGCAUUUCUGUCUCAAUAUCGGUAUCAGGCCCUUCAAAAAUCUGGUUUUGAAAAGAUACUGGAGCGAUGCUUUCAUAGUGACCAUACUUAUUUUCAUCCUUUACCCAAUCAGUUCUAUAGCAUUGAACAAGUUCAUUAAGAUGAGGCCACUGAUCCAGAUUUUCAUCAAGCAACGGGUCCAACUUGAGACGAGCAAGAGAUUGGCGAGAUAUUCUAUGAAAACGCUGCCCCCCAUUGUUACCAGUGUUAUUAUCCAUCUCGAGGAUGAAUGUGAAUAGCGCUUAAUCAAAGCAGCGAGCUUGGAAAGUGUAGGAGUCAAGAGCGACGUCGGUAGCGGUGUGGAAAACGUUGGAAAAGCAGCGGUGGAGCUGAUAGGCUAAGGAUGAGAAGGUGGGUAGCAUUGGUCAUGAAUACAAGUAGAAUGUCAUCAAUCUGGUAGAUCUUAAAACUGAAAAAUGGAAGUGGGAAUUGAAAUCCAGAGAGAAAAUAAGUAGAAGAGGAAGACAACCCUAAGAAAGAGA
Molecule: unclassified non-coding RNA, 6137 nt
Filed under: Hevea brasiliensis (rubber tree)
Lineage: Eukaryota; Viridiplantae; Streptophyta; Magnoliopsida; Malpighiales; Euphorbiaceae
Source: RNAcentral